UCCCUGGUGGUCCAAUGGCUAAGACUCUGAGCUCCCAAUGCUGGGGACCCAGGUUCAAUCCCUGGCCAAGGAA
RNAcentral lists this transfer RNA (73 nucleotides) under Ovis aries (sheep). It matches the Rfam family "tRNA". From Rfam's summary of the family: Transfer RNA (tRNA) molecules are approximately 80 nucleotides in length. Their secondary structure includes four short double-helical elements and three loops (D, anti-codon, and T loops). Further hydrogen bonds mediate the characteristic L-shaped molecular structure. tRNAs have two regions of fundamental functional importance: the anti-codon, which is responsible for specific mRNA codon recognition, and the 3' end, to which the tRNAs corresponding amino acid is attached (by aminoacyl-tRNA synthetases). tRNAs cope with the degeneracy of the genetic code in two manners: having more than one tRNA (with a specific anti-codon) for a particular amino acid; and 'wobble' base-pairing, i.e. permitting non-standard base-pairing at the 3rd anti-codon position. The record is from Rfam by way of RNAcentral. Lineage: Eukaryota; Metazoa; Chordata; Mammalia; Artiodactyla; Bovidae.